AUGGCCGGAGGAGGCGAUGAGCUGAAGCUACUCGGCACGUUCGCGAGCCCGUUCGUCAUGCGAGCGAAGCUGGCGCUCAGCUUCAAGGGCCUGAGCUUCGAGGACGUCGAGGAAGACCUGGCCAACAAGAGCCAGCUCCUCCUCGAGUCCAACCCGGCGGAGAAGAAGGUGCCCGUGCUCAUCCACAACGGCAAGCCCGUCUGCGACUCGCGUGUCAUCGUGCAGUACAUCGACGAGGCCUUCAGCGGCAACGGCGCGCCUCUCCUCCCCGCCGACCCCUACGAGCGCGCCGUCGCUCGCUUUUGGGCCGCCUACGUCGACGACAAGCUCUUGGCGUCUUGGCUGCAGGCCGCGAGGGGCAAGACGGAGGAGGAGAAGGCGGAGGGGCUGAAGCAGACGCUCGUGGCGGUGGAGACCAUGGAGGCGGCCUUCAAGACGUGCUCCAAGGGGAAGCCUUUCUUCGGCGGCGACAGGGUUGGGUACCUGGACGUGACGCUCGGCGGUCUGGUCGUCUGGGUGCACGCCGGCGCGGCGCUGUAUGGCAUGCGGCUUUUCGACGACGCCAAGAGCCCUUUCCUGGCGGCCUGGGUGGAGCGCUUCGGCGCGCUGGACGCCGCCAAGGCUGUCCUGCCGGCCGUCGAAAGAGUGGUCGAGUUCGCCAAGAUGAGACAGGCGCAGGCUGCGGCACCGGCCACGGCAGGAGGCAACUAA
This 711-nucleotide ribosomal RNA is filed under the name Triticum aestivum (bread wheat). RNAcentral describes it as "partial small subunit ribosomal RNA". Lineage: Eukaryota; Viridiplantae; Streptophyta; Magnoliopsida; Poales; Poaceae. The record is from RNAcentral.